RNAcentral lists this ribosomal RNA (468 nucleotides) under uncultured bacterium. Its description in RNAcentral is "partial 16S ribosomal RNA". It matches the Rfam family "Bacterial small subunit ribosomal RNA", at positions 28 to 507 of the family's 1533-position model. The record is from RNAcentral.
GACGAACGCUGGCGGCGUGCUUAACACAUGCAAGUCGAACGGAAAGGCCCUGCUUUUGUGGGGUGCUCGAGUGGCGAACGGGUGAGUAACACGUGAGUAACCUGCCCUUGACUUUGGGAUAACUUCAGGAAACUGGGGCUAAUACCGGAUAGGAGCUCCUGCUGCAUGGUGGGGGUUGGAAAGUUUCGGCGGUUGGGGAUGGACUCGCGGCUUAUCAGCUUGUUGGUGGGGUAGUGGCUUACCAAGGCUUUGACGGGUAGCCGGCCUGAGAGGGUGACCGGCCACAAUGGGACUGAGAGACGGCCCAGAAUCCUACGGGAGGCAGCAGUGGGGAAUAUUGCAGAAUGGGCGGAAGCCUGAGGCAGCAACGCCGCGUGCGGGAUGACGGCCUUCGGGUUGUAAACCGCUUUCGCCUGUGACGAAGCGUGAGUGACGGUAAUGGGUAAAGAAGCACCGGCUAACUACGUG